GCGAACGCUGGCGGCAGGCCUAACACAUGCAAGUCGCACGAACCUUUCGGGGUUAGUGGCGGACGGGUGAGUAACACGUGGGAACGUGCCUUUAGGUUCGGAAUAACUCAGGGAAACUUGUGCUAAUACCGAAUGUGCCCUUCGGGGGAAAGAUUUAUCGCCUUUAGAGCGGCCCGCGUCUGAUUAGCUAGUUGGUUGAGGUAAUGGCUCACCAAGGCGACGAUCAGUAGCUGGUCUGAGAGGAUGAUCAGCCACAUUGGGACUGAGACACGGCCCAAACUCCUACGGGAGGCAGCAGUGGGGAAUCUUGCGCAAUGGGCGAAAGCCUGACGCAGCCAUGCCGCGUGAAUGAUGAAGGUCUUAGGAUUGUAAAAUUCUUUCACCGGGGACGAUAAUGACGGUACCCGGAGAAGAAGCCCCGGCUAACUUCGUG
Molecule: ribosomal RNA, 433 nt
Filed under: uncultured bacterium
Lineage: Bacteria
Description: partial 16S ribosomal RNA
Rfam family: Bacterial small subunit ribosomal RNA
Source: RNAcentral